AUUGAACGCUGGCGGCAGGCCUAACACAUGCAAGUCGAACGGUAACAGGAAGCAGCUUGCUGCUUUGCUGACGAGUGGCGGACGGGUGAGUAAUGUCUGGGAAACUGCCCGAUGGAGGGGGAUAACUACUGGAAACGGUAGCUAAUACCGCAUAACGUCGCAAGACCAAAGAGGGGGACCUUAGGGCCUCUUGCCAUCGGAUGUGCCCAGAUGGGAUUAGCUAGUAGGUGGGGUAACGGCUCACCUAGGCGACGAUCCCUAGCUGGUCUGAGAGGAUGACCAGCCACACUGGAACUGAGACACGGUCCAGACUCCUACGGGAGGCAGCAGUGGGGAAUAUUGCACAAUGGGCGCAAGCCUGAUGCAGCCAUGCCGCGCGUAUGAAGAAGGCCUUCGGGUUGUAAAGUACUUUCAGCGGGGAGGAAGGGAGUAAAGUUAAUACCUUUGCUCAUUGACGUUACCCGCAGAAGAAGCACCGGCUAACUCCGUG
RNAcentral lists this ribosomal RNA (490 nucleotides) under uncultured bacterium. RNAcentral describes it as "partial 16S ribosomal RNA". It matches the Rfam family "Bacterial small subunit ribosomal RNA", at positions 30 to 507 of the family's 1533-position model. The record is from RNAcentral.